AGAGUUUGAUCAUGGCUCAGAAUCAACGCUGGCGGCGCGCCUAACACAUGCAAGUCGAACGAGAAAGCCGGGGCAACCUGGUGAGUACAGUGGCGUACGGGUGAGUAACACGUGGAUGAUCUACCUCUUAGUUCGGAAUAACCAUGGGAAACCGGGGCUAAUACCGGAUGAGCUCGAGAGAGGAAAGUAGCAAUACGCUGAGAGAGGAGUCCGCGGCCGAUUAGCUAGUUGGCAGGGUAAAAGCCUACCAAGGCAAAGAUCGGUAGCCGGCCUGAGAGGGCACACGGCCACACUGGCACUGAGACACGGGCCAGACUCCUACGGGAGGCAGCAGUGGGGAAUCUUGCACAAUGGGGGAAACCCUGAUGCAGCGACGCCGCGUGAGCGAUGAAGCCCUUCGGGGUGUAAAGCUCUUUCGUCAGGGAAGAUGAUGACGGUACCUGGAGAAGCAGCUGCGGCUAACUACGUGCCAGUAGCCGCGGUAAUACGUAGGCAGCGAGCGUUGUUCGGAGUUACUGGGCGUAAAGGGUGUGUAGGCGGUGAUUUAAGUUUGGUGUGAAAUCUCCCGGCUCAACUGGGAGGGAGCGCCGAAUACUGAAUGACUUGGAGUACGGGAGAGGAAAGUGGAAUUCCUGGUGUAGCGGUGAAAUGCGUAGAUAUCAGGAGGAACACCGGUGGUGUAGACGGCUUUCUGGACCGUAACUGACGCUGAGACACGAAAGCGUGGGUAGCAAACAGGAUUAGAUACCCUGGUAGUCCACGCCCUAAACGAUGCAUAUUUGGUGUGGGCAGUUCAUUCUGUCCGUGCCGGAGCUAACGCGUUAAAUAUGCCGCCUGGGGAGUACAGUCGCAAGGCUGAAACUCAAAGGAAUUGACGGGGGCCCGCACAAGCGGUGGAGCAUGUGGUUCAAUUCGACGCACGCG
RNAcentral lists this ribosomal RNA (924 nucleotides) under uncultured bacterium. RNAcentral's name for it is "bacterial SSU rRNA". It matches the Rfam family "Bacterial small subunit ribosomal RNA", at positions 8 to 963 of the family's 1533-position model. The record is from RNAcentral.